This 496-nucleotide ribosomal RNA is filed under the name uncultured bacterium. RNAcentral's name for it is "partial 16S ribosomal RNA". It matches the Rfam family "Bacterial small subunit ribosomal RNA", at positions 29 to 507 of the family's 1533-position model. The record is from RNAcentral.
AUGCACGCUGGCGGCGUGCCUAAUACAUGCCAGUCGAGCGAACAGACGAGGAGCUUGCUCCUCUGACGUUAGCGGCGGACGGGUGAGUAACGCGUGGAUAACCUACCUAUAAGACUGGGAUAACUUCGGGAAACCGGAGCUAAUACCGGAUAAUAUAUUGAACCGCAUGGUUCAAUAGUGAAAGACGGUUUUGCUGUCACUUAUAGAUGGAUCCGCGCCGCAUUAGCUAGUUGGUAAGGUAACGGCUUACCAAGGCAACGAUGCGUAGCCGACCUGAGAGGGUGAUCGGCCACACUGGAACUGAGACACGGUCCAGACUCCUACGGGAGGCAGCAGUAGGGAAUCUUCCGCAAUGGGCGAAAGCCUGACGGAGCAACGCCGCGUGAGUGAUGAAGGUCUUCGGAUCGUAAAACUCUGUUAUUAGGGAAGAACAAAUGUGUAAGUAACUAUGCACGUCUUGACGGUACCUAAUCAGAAAGCCACGGCUAACUACGUG